GGUUAUCUCAGCUGCUGCUUCUCAUGCUCCUGAGUUAAUCAGCUGAGACUUGGUCAAGCACUGGACCGUGGUAGUUGCACUGAAGAAAGAGGAGUUCCUUCCUGGAAAGUGAUUGGCAGAUUUUACAACAAAGGAAAAACAAUCCUGAAGAUUGUUCCUUCUUUGUGUUUCAGAGACCUUCUUUCUUUGACAGAGAAUAUAAGGAAUCAAGUGAGAAGAUACACAAAGGAAACUGAGAGGAAGCACAGCUGGGACAGGUGAUCUGUACUCCACAUCACAGAAUGUCAUACCCAUUAGAUAAACUGGGCUGAGUUACCCAGGAGGGAGGACUGAUCUGAGUUUGGGAAGAGGGGCCUGGCAUUGGU
This is a long non-coding RNA of Serinus canaria (Common canary), 365 nucleotides long. RefSeq lists it as uncharacterized. NCBI's taxonomy places the organism in Eukaryota, Metazoa, Chordata, Aves, Passeriformes, Fringillidae. The record is from RefSeq and is a predicted model, not a curated record. The transcript has 3 exons.